This 253-nucleotide ribosomal RNA is filed under the name uncultured bacterium. Its description in RNAcentral is "partial 16S ribosomal RNA". It matches the Rfam family "Bacterial small subunit ribosomal RNA", at positions 524 to 776 of the family's 1533-position model. The record is from RNAcentral.
UACGUAGGGUGCAAGCGUUGUCCGGAAUUAUUGGGCGUAAAGGGCUCGUAGGCGGUUUGUCGCGUCGGGAGUGAAAACUCAGGGCUUAACCCUGAGCCUGCUUCCGAUACGGGCAGACUAGAGGUAUGCAGGGGAGAAUGGAAUUCCUGGUGUAGCGGUGAAAUGCGCAGAUAUCAGGAGGAACACCGGUGGCGAAGGCGGGUCUCUGGGCAUGUCCUGACGCUGAGGAGCGAAAGUGUGGGGAGCGAACAGG